GAGGAUAUAGCUCAGUGAUAGAGCACAUGCUAAGCAUGCACGAGGUUCUGGGUUCAAUCCCCGGUACUGCCA
Molecule: transfer RNA, 72 nt
Filed under: Camelus dromedarius (Arabian camel)
Lineage: Eukaryota; Metazoa; Chordata; Mammalia; Artiodactyla; Camelidae
Also listed under: 1 other name
Rfam family: tRNA
About the family: Transfer RNA (tRNA) molecules are approximately 80 nucleotides in length. Their secondary structure includes four short double-helical elements and three loops (D, anti-codon, and T loops).
Source: Rfam by way of RNAcentral